AGACCGAUGGCUCAAUUUGGUAGAGCGUAGCGGGAACGCUUUAAUUAAUGGUUCAAAUCCAUUUCAGCCUA
This is a non-coding RNA of Sphaeroforma arctica JP610, 71 nucleotides long. Lineage: Eukaryota; Ichthyosporea; Ichthyophonida. The record is from Rfam.